AAACGUUCACCUUGUUAUCCGGCAAGGCGCAGUACGACCCAGGUCAUGGAACGGGGGCCUGGG
This 63-nucleotide non-coding RNA is filed under the name Synechococcus sp. Its description in RNAcentral is "Glutamine-II sequence". It matches the Rfam family "Glutamine-II riboswitch aptamer". From Rfam's summary of the family: The major groove of the PK provides the binding site for L-glutamine The record is from RNAcentral. Lineage: Bacteria; Bacillati; Cyanobacteriota; Cyanophyceae; Synechococcales; Synechococcaceae. RNAcentral also lists the same sequence under 1 other name.